GACACUGACUACAUUGUUCUAUCAGUGUGAUGUGAAAAGGCACACAGUUAAUUAGAUGCAUAUUCUUAUCUUAUGACAUGUUCUUAGAUGUCUACAGCCUAUAGUAUUCUAAGGGCCUGCAUUAAGUCACACAGAUUGUUAUGAAGGAGGAAAAAAAAGUACUUUCUUGAUAUAAGAGCUCUUCAUCCCACCUAAUUCUUCAAAGAAGAGAUUCAUCAUUUCCUGAACAUUCAGUGCUAGAGUGAGCAUUGGACAGCUGCCCAGAGACCAAUCAGAUAACAGAAGAGAGAGCCUUUUCAUCUCUGGAAAACUCUUCAAAGAGGUGGAUGGGAAUUUAGCCACAUGACUUCUUCAUUGAUGGAAGACAUACAAUUAGAUCUAAGUAUUACUUCACCAGUGGUUUUUGACCCUUGUCAGCUGUGGAGCUGUAAACAUUUUCUGUGGAAAAUCUAGUCUCUUUAGAAAUUUCACACAUAUGGACAGUUCCGUGCAUAUAUGUGUUUUCCAUGUUUUUCCGUGUUUUUUAUAAUCAGCUGUCAUGUUCGCAUUAGAAACAGUAUUUAGUUCACCUUAGCCAUCUGCAGCCAUUCAUCAGAGGAAAUUUAUGAAAGUUUUCUCUCUGUCAUAAUCCUGUGUAGCUCACGUAGAAUGGAAAUAAAGUUUGAUAAUUUAUCUGUA
Molecule: long non-coding RNA, 678 nt
Organism: Anas platyrhynchos (mallard)
Lineage: Eukaryota; Metazoa; Chordata; Aves; Anseriformes; Anatidae
Source: RefSeq, a predicted model, not a curated record